RNAcentral lists this ribosomal RNA (431 nucleotides) under uncultured Streptococcus sp. RNAcentral describes it as "bacterial SSU rRNA". It matches the Rfam family "Bacterial small subunit ribosomal RNA", at positions 952 to 1382 of the family's 1533-position model. The record is from RNAcentral. Lineage: Bacteria; Bacillati; Bacillota; Bacilli; Lactobacillales; Streptococcaceae.
CGAAGCAACGCGAAGAACCUUACCGAGGUCUUGACAUCCCGAUGCUUAUUUCUAGAGAUAGAAAGUUACUUCGGUACAUCGGUGACAGGUGGUGCAUGGUUGUCGUCAGCUCGUGUCGUGAGAUGUUGGGUUAAGUCCCGCAACGAGCGCAACCCCUAUUGUUAGUUGCCAUCAUUCAGUUGGGCACUCUAGCGAGACUGCCGGUAAUAAACCGGAGGAAGGUGGGGAUGACGUCAAAUCAUCAUGCCCCUUAUGACCUGGGCUACACACGUGCUACAAUGGUUGGUACAACGAGUUGCGAGUCGGUGACGGCGAGCUAAUCUCUUAAAGCCAAUCUCAGUUCGGAUUGUAGGCUGCAACUCGCCUACAUGAAGUCGGAAUCGCUAGUAAUCGCGGAUCAGCACGCCGCGGUGAAUACGUUCCCGGGCCUU